RNAcentral lists this ribosomal RNA (626 nucleotides) under uncultured bacterium. Its description in RNAcentral is "bacterial SSU rRNA". It matches the Rfam family "Bacterial small subunit ribosomal RNA", at positions 100 to 713 of the family's 1533-position model. The record is from RNAcentral.
GAACGGGUGAGUAACACGUGGGCAACCUGCCCAAAAGAGGGGGAUAACACUUGGAAACAGGUGCUAAUACCGCAUAACCAUAGUUACCGCAUGGUAGCUAUGUAAAAGGUGGCUAUGCUACCGCUUUUGGAUGGGCCCGCGGCGCAUUAGCUAGUUGGUGGGGUAAAGGCUUACCAAGGCGAUGAUGCGUAGCCGAACUGAGAGGUUGAUCGGCCACAUUGGGACUGAGACACGGCCCAAACUCCUACGGGAGGCAGCAGUAGGGAAUCUUCCACAAUGGGCGAAAGCCUGAUGGAGCAACGCCGCGUGGGUGAAGAAGGUCUUCGGAUCGUAAAACCCUGUUGUUAGAGAAGAAAGUGCGUGAGAGUAACUGUUCACGUUUCGACGGUAUCUAACCAGAAAGCCACGGCUAACUACGUGCCAGCAGCCGCGGUAAUACGUGGGUGGCAAGCGUUAUCCGGAUUUAUUGGGCGUAAAGGGAACGCAGGCGGUCUUUUAAGUCUGAUGUGAAAGCCUUCGGCUUAACCGGAGUAGUGCAUUGGAAACUGGGAGACUUGAGUGCAGAAGAGGAGAGUGGAACUCCAUGUGUAGCGGUGAAAUGCGUAGAUAUAUGGAGGAACACCGGA